Molecule: ribosomal RNA, 1451 nt
Filed under: uncultured soil bacterium
Lineage: Bacteria
Description: partial 16S ribosomal RNA
Rfam family: Bacterial small subunit ribosomal RNA
Source: RNAcentral
AGGAGGGGCCUAGCACAUGCGAGCCGAGGGGCACGAGAUAGCAAUACUUGUCGGGGACCGGCGCACGGGUGAGUAACGCGUAUGUAAUCUACCUUUAACUGGGGCAUAGCUCAGAGAAAUCUGAAUUAAUUCCCCAUAACACUGCGAAGUGGCAUCAUUUUGCAGUUAAAGCUCCGGCGGUUAAAGAUGAGCAUGCGUGCCAUUAGCUUGUUGGUGAGGUAACGGCUCACCAAGGCAGCGAUGGUUAGGGGGUCUGAGAGGAUGAUCCCCCACACUGGUACUGAGACACGGACCAGACUCCUACGGGAGGCAGCAGUGAGGAAUAUUGGUCAAUGGGCGCAAGCCUGAACCAGCCAUGCCGCGCGAAGGAUUGAAGGGCCUAUGGGUUGUAAACUUCUUUUGUACGGGACGAAACCUUCGGACGUGUCCGAAGCUGACGGGUACCGUAAGAAUAAGCAUUGGGCUGACUCCGUGCGCAGCAGCCGCGGGUAAUACGAAGGACGCAAAGCGUUAUCCGGUAUUCAUGGGGGUUUAAAGGGGCGCUUUCGGCAGAUUUGUAUAGUCAGUGGUGAAAAGCCUGGAGGUUUAACUGGCGAAUUUUCAAUUGAAACUAAUAGGUUCUCUACCUAUGGUUGAGGUGCGCCGGAAUUUCCUAAUGGAAGCCUUUAAAUGUCAUAGAUAUCGCGCUGAAGGCCGAUUGGCCCUUGCAGCUCGCCAGCUGAGUAUUGUCGCUGAGGCAGGAAAGCGUGGGCAUCGAACAGGAUUAGAUACCAUUCUAGCCCUCCAAUCGUUGGAUGAUGGCUCGAUCUUGGCCCGCAAGGGUCACGGUCGUAGCGCUAGUGUUCAGUCAUCCGUCUGGGGAAUACGCCGGCAUCGGUGAAACUCAAAGGAAUUGACGCGGGUUCCACAACCGGAGGAACAUAUGGUUUAAUUCGAUUUACGCGACAACCUUACCCAGGCUCGAAUCCGAAGGAACGAAUGUGGGGGAAACUUCACAGCCAGCAAUGGCGGUCGGCGAGGUGCUGCAUGGUUGUCGUCAGCUCGUGCCGUGAGGUGUCGGCUUAAGUGCCAUAACGAGCGCAACCCCUAUCGGUAGUUGCCAGCGGGUGAUGCCGGGAACUCUACCGAGACUGCCAGCGCAAGCUGCGAGGAAGGCGGGGAUGACGUCAAAUCAGCACGGCCCUUACGUCUGGGGCGACACACGUGUUACAAUGGCCGGUACAGAGGGCAGCCACCCAGCGAUGGGGCGCGAAUCUCGAAAGCCGGUCGUAGUUCGGAUCGGAGGCUGCAACCCGCCUCCGUGAAGCUGGAUUCGCUAGUAAUCGCGCAUCAGCCAUGGCGCGGUGAAUACGUUCCCGGGCCUUGUACACACCGCCCGUCAAGCCAUGGAAGCCAGGGGUACCCAAAGCCAGUAUUCUAACCGCAAGGAGAAGCUGUUAAAGGAAAACCCC